This 253-nucleotide ribosomal RNA is filed under the name uncultured bacterium. RNAcentral's name for it is "partial 16S ribosomal RNA". It matches the Rfam family "Bacterial small subunit ribosomal RNA", at positions 524 to 776 of the family's 1533-position model. The record is from RNAcentral.
UACGUAGGUGGCGAGCGUUAUCCGGAAUGAUUGGGCGUAAAGGGUGCGUAGGCGGCCUGCUAAGUCUGGAGUGAAAGGUACCGGCUCAACCGGUACAGGCUCUGGAAACUGGCGGGCUAGAGAGCAGGAGAGGGCGGUGGAACUCCAUGUGUAGCGGUAAAAUGCGUAGAUAUAUGGAAGAACACCAGUGGCGAAGGCGGCCGCCUGGCCUGUUGACUGACGCUGAGGCACGAAGGCGUGGGGAGCAAAUAGG